Monodelphis domestica (gray short-tailed opossum) is the source of this 2176-nucleotide non-coding RNA. Lineage: Eukaryota; Metazoa; Chordata; Mammalia; Didelphimorphia; Didelphidae. The record is from RefSeq and is a predicted model, not a curated record.
GGAGACUGGAACAACCUCCAGGAAGUGAUGCAGAGUGAGAGGAGCAGAACUAGGAGAACAUUGUACACAGAGCCUGAUACACGGUGAUAUAAUCAAAUGUAAUUCUCCAUUAGUGGCAAUGCAGUGAUCCUGAACAACCCGGAGGGAUUUACGAGAAAGAACACUAUCAGAGGAAAAACUAUCUGCAGGAUUUGAGUCAGAAUUAUCCAUCAAAGAAGUAUAAGAACUGGAGUGGCCAUGAUCAUCCACCAUAGCUGUUAUGUAAAAUUCAACAAAGCAUUUUUUUACAGCAAAUUAAAGUUGAAGUAAAGCAUGUAAUUUAAGGGACAAACUGGUCUACUCGUCAUGAACAUACAUCCUAUACUUACCUGCUUUCCCUCUGUUCAUAACUGUACCCAAUGGCUGGACAAUUCUCUUAAUUUCUAACCAUCCUUUAAAGCCCAAUCCAAGGGUCAUGUUGUCAUGAGCACUGUACCCCCAGAAACUCAUGGCAAACUAUUAUCAGGGAAAAUCCUCUGCUCCCUUAGGCCCUCAUGACCCCCAACCCAAAACACCAGACCUGGAAGAUGACCUUCCUUUGAUUGCCCCAUAGAAUUGAAAUGGACAAAGAGACACACUUCAUUCAUUCAUCCUCCAAAUCAGGAGAACCACCCAUGCCCGGGGGCUAACCUCCCCUCCCCAACUCCUUGCUCCAGAAGCAAGUCUUCUUAUCGAAGAAUAGGAAAACCCCAGAACACAGACAUUCUGGGAGCCAACUCCCAGGUUGCUCUACUCAUGCUGUCUUGCUGGCCAAAAAGUCAUUAACUAAUAAAUCUCUCUCGAGUCAUAUAUCGUUGCAAAAGUUAUCCUUCCUGAACCCCAGGGGUACACCCCUACACCCCACGGAUCAUGCAUAAGGGCACAGCUUCUCAGGUAGGAAGGAGCCUUUCUUAGACUACUGAAACCCCAUUUGGGUAACAUCUUUGUAGGACCUCUUAUAUGCCCUCUCUCCCAUUGGUCCCAGAAGUCAGUCUAGUCUGGCCACUGGAUCUGGGGUCUAUCAGCUCCCCUUUUUCAUACUAGAAGACAUUCUGGUGAAGGGGAGACUCUCACCUCACUAACAUUAGUGCUAUAGGUCAGGCAACCUCUGUGGCCGUACAGUUGUUGACCCUUAGUGUGGAAUUGGCCAUUCCACAUCAAAAUGGGACAGAGACAGAACAUACCCGGAGGUUCCCCUUUGGGGUGUAUACUAAGAAGCAUGGCCUAUCCAUGGCACCCUAAAUUAUAAUAUCAUCCAAAAAUUGGACUUGUUUAGCAUAAGGAAAAGGAAAAAGACAGCACAACCUUAUAAUUCUGCAUUUAUUAAACUCAGUCUAAAUCCUGAGCUUAGGAGGGCUUGCCAUAUGCACCUUACCCACCCUUGCUGACCCCUACACCCCUUAACAAUGUCAUCCAUGGAGCUUUCCCUAAUAUCCCAACUUGGAAACAAACCCACUUUGAACCUCUUAAUGUACUUGAUCCUCACAAAAAUCCUGGAAGGUAGGUGCUAUUAUUAAUCCUCAUUUUACAGUUGUAAAAACUAAGGUUAAAAAGAGGUUAGUAACUUGCCCAGAGUCACACAAGUGGUGAAUGUCUGAGGCUGAAUUGGAUCUUAGUUCUUCUUGACUCUAGGCAUAGCAUUCUGUCCACUGGACUAUGCUGUUGUCUAGUAAUAGUUCUUUUCACCUAAAGAAUACAUGCUUAGAUGAUUAGGAAUUUUGAUAAAUCUAAAAGAAAAUACAUUUCUCAAUGCCUAUGACAACUAUAAUGAAAUAAGAAGUUGAAAUAGAGGUUAAAAUGAAGUUAAUUAAGGUAGUUAUUUGGUAGUCCCAUUGCAGCAAAGAUAAAAAAAUACCACAUUCUCUUAGAUCCACGAUGGCAAACCUUUAAAAAACAAGGAGUGCUGAGCCCCACCCAUCCCAUACUUCAAUCCUCCCCUACCCCCCACCUCAGACAGGGGCAGGUGAAGUGAAGAAUGUCUUCAGGAGCAUGGAGAAGAGAUGAGGAAUAGUUCUACCCUAAGUCCUUCUGGCUUUCUACUAAAAAACUGGAACUCUGCUAUGCAACUGCAGGUAUGUCCCCAGAGAGGGCUCACCAUCUUAAGACUUAUCUUAAGUCUAUCUUAAGACUAUCAAUAAAUUAUAUUACAUUAUUGUUA